AGUGAACGCUGGCGGUAGGCCUAACACAUGCAAGUCGGACGGCAGCACAGUAAGAGCUUGCUCUUACGGGUGGCGAGUGGCGGACGGGUGAGGAAUACAUCGGAAUCUACUUUUUCGUGGGGGAUAACGUAGGGAAGCUUACGCUAAUACCGCAUACGACCUACGGGUGAAAGCAGGGGAUCUUCGGACCUUGCGCGAUUGAAUGAGCCGAUGUCGGAUUAGCUAGUUGGCGGGGUAAAGGCCCACCAAGGCGACGAUCCGUAGCUGGUCUGAGAGGAUGAUCAGCCACACUGGAACUGAGACACGGUCCAGACUCCUACGGGAGGCAGCAGUGGGGAAUAUUGGACAAUGGGCGCAAGCCUGAUCCAGCCAUACCGCGUGGGUGAAGAAGGCCUUCGGGUUGUAAAGCCCUUUUGUUGGGAAAGAAAAGCAGCAGGUUAAUACCCCGCUGUUCUGACGGUACCCAAAGAAUAAGCACCGGCUAACUUCGUG
Molecule: ribosomal RNA, 492 nt
Filed under: uncultured bacterium
Lineage: Bacteria
Description: partial 16S ribosomal RNA
Rfam family: Bacterial small subunit ribosomal RNA
Source: RNAcentral